AGACAGGUGGUGCAUGGUUGUCGUCAGCUCGUGUCGUGAGAUGUUGGGUUAAGUCCCGCAACGAGCGCAACCCUACGUUAGUUGCUAACGCGUGAAGGCGAGCACUCUAGACGAACUGCCGUUGACAAAACGGAGGAAGGUGGGAUGACGUCAAAUCAUCAUGCCCUUAUGUUCUGGGCUACGACACGUGCUACAAUGGCCGGUACAGACGGACGCAAAGCCGCGAGGUGGAGCAAAUCCUAAAAAGCCGGUCUCAGUUCGGAUUGCAGGCUGCAAUUCGCCUGCAUGAAGCCGGAAUCGCUAGUAAUCGCGAGUCAGCAUGCCGCGGUGAAUACGUUCCCGGGCCUU
This 348-nucleotide ribosomal RNA is filed under the name uncultured Bacillus sp. RNAcentral's name for it is "bacterial SSU rRNA". It matches the Rfam family "Bacterial small subunit ribosomal RNA", at positions 1032 to 1382 of the family's 1533-position model. The record is from RNAcentral. Lineage: Bacteria; Bacillati; Bacillota; Bacilli; Caryophanales; Bacillaceae.